AAGUUCACCUUGGCAACGUAUAAACUAAAAUUGGAAUGAUACAGUGAUUAGCAUGGCCGCUGCACAAGGAUGACACACAAAUUCGUGAAGCGUUCUGUACUUUU
Molecule: small nuclear RNA, 104 nt
Organism: Otolemur garnettii (small-eared galago)
Lineage: Eukaryota; Metazoa; Chordata; Mammalia; Primates; Galagidae
Source: Ensembl